Penaeus vannamei (Pacific white shrimp) is the source of this 243-nucleotide non-coding RNA. The record is from RefSeq and is a predicted model, not a curated record. Lineage: Eukaryota; Metazoa; Arthropoda; Malacostraca; Decapoda; Penaeidae.
ACCCGCACAGAGUACGUAACCACAACCCACUACCAGACGCACACGCAGUACCAGACGCAGUACCAGCCACGCUUCGUCACCCAAACGCAGAUGGUGCCCGAAUACAUCACCCAGACAGUGCCUCAGUACGUCACCAGGACGCAGUACCAGACGCAGCACGUCACCGUCACCAAGCCAUGCCCGAGCUCAGGAGGCAAGUGAUCCUUAACCAGUGAUAUAUUUUCAGCUUAGAGCAUUGCCAAA